This 403-nucleotide long non-coding RNA is filed under the name Phoenix dactylifera (date palm). RNAcentral's name for it is "long non-coding RNA (PDAC_LNC018134)". The record is from RNAcentral. Lineage: Eukaryota; Viridiplantae; Streptophyta; Magnoliopsida; Arecales; Arecaceae.
GAAUUUAAUCAACUAUAAUCAGUUAUGGAAUUUAGAGUAUCUACAAUCUUGCUCCAAAACCCUUAUUUUUGCCCUUCAAUUGCUGUAAGUCUUGUUUUCGAGCUCCUCCUUUGAUUCACUGCAUCCCAUAUUCUUCUUUGUUCCUAUAUAAAAGCUAACAGAGUUUUUUUUUUGGGAUGAAGAAAACACUCUGAAUUGCCAUGAGAUAGUAGAUUUAAUGCUGGAAGAGUUCUGUGUCAUUUAUUGAAUAUAAGGAUCAAAAACACUGUUAAUUUAGCAUCAGAUUUAUGUCAUCGACUCAUAAAUCUGCAAUUGGAUCAAGGACGCCUGUUGUGUCAUAAAUACCUCAAAUUUAAUUUUUGUUAUGCAUGCAGAGAUUCUGCAAAACACCCUUCAAACAAAA